This 465-nucleotide ribosomal RNA is filed under the name uncultured Klebsiella sp. Its description in RNAcentral is "bacterial SSU rRNA". It matches the Rfam family "Bacterial small subunit ribosomal RNA", at positions 338 to 795 of the family's 1533-position model. Lineage: Bacteria; Pseudomonadati; Pseudomonadota; Gammaproteobacteria; Enterobacterales; Enterobacteriaceae. The record is from RNAcentral.
CCUACGGGAGGCAGCAGUGGGGAAUAUUGCACAAUGGGCGCAAGCCUGAUGCAGCCAUGCCGCGUGUGUGAAGAAGGCCUUCGGGUUGUAAAGCACUUUCAGCGGGGAGGAAGGCGGUGAGGUUAAUAACCUCAUCGAUUGACGUUACCCGCAGAAGAAGCACCGACUAACUCCGUGCCAGCAGCCGCGGUAAUACGGAGGGUGCAAGCGUUAAUCGGAAUUACUGGGCGUAAAGCGCACGCAGGCGGUCUGUCAAGUCGGAUGUGAAAUCCCCGGGCUCAACCUGGGAACUGCAUUCGAAACUGGCAGGCUAGAGUCUUGUAGAGGGGGGUAGAAUUCCAGGUGUAGCGGUGAAAUGCGUAGAGAUCUGGAGGAAUACCGGUGGCGAAGGCGGCCCCCUGGACAAAGACUGACGCUCAGGUGCGAAAGCGUGGGGAGCAAACAGGAGUAGAUACCCGAGUAGUC